GGAUCAGAGUGGGCCAGGGGGACAGGGCCCUCCCAGUUUUUGAAAGUGGAUCGGCCUAGCCUGUCCACUUUUCACCGGGGUGGACCCCACCUCCUUCCCCUUCUCUUCCCCCCUGAG
This is a long non-coding RNA of Dermochelys coriacea (leatherback sea turtle), 117 nucleotides long. RefSeq lists it as uncharacterized. The record is from RefSeq and is a predicted model, not a curated record. Lineage: Eukaryota; Metazoa; Chordata; Testudines; Dermochelyidae. The transcript is spliced from 3 exons.